AACGAACGCUGGCGGCAUGCCUAACACAUGCAAGUCGAACGAGACCUUCGGGUCUAGUGGCGCACGGGUGCGUAACGCGUGGGAACCUGCCCUUAGGUUCGGAAUAACUCCCCGAAAGGGGUGCUAAUACCGGAUAAUGUCUUCGGACCAAAGAUUUAUCGCCCUUGGGUGGGCCCGCGUUCGUUUAACUAGUUGGUAGGGUAAAAGCCUACCAAGGCGACGAUCCAUAGCUGGUCUGAGAGGAUGAUCAGCCACACUGGGACAGAGACACGUCCCAGACUCCUGCGGGAGGCAGCAGGGGGGAAUAUUGGACACCGGGCGAAAGCAUGAUCCAGCCAUGCCGCGUGAGUGAUGAAGGCCUUAGGAUUGUAAAGCGCUUUUACCCGGGAUGAUAAUGACAGAACCGGGAGAAUAAGCUCCGGCAAACUCCGU
This 432-nucleotide ribosomal RNA is filed under the name uncultured bacterium. RNAcentral describes it as "partial 16S ribosomal RNA". It matches the Rfam family "Bacterial small subunit ribosomal RNA", at positions 29 to 506 of the family's 1533-position model. The record is from RNAcentral.